CACAAAGUUGCUCGGUUUUAUUGAACAUUUGCACAAAUGCUCUGCCUUUGAUCGUCAUAUUUUGUUCUGUUUCCAUCGUGCUGUAGUACCUCAGUCUGCUGACAGGGGGCGGUGUGGCAGAGGCCGCUGCUCCAUUAACAUGGCGGUGUGAUGACGCUGUAUUCUCUGCUUCAACGCUUCAACUUCACGCUAAAAAUCCACACUCAGGAGUUUUCUUAGGACGUCAUCGGUUCGCUGCCCGCUUUAACUACGUCCCUAACGCCCGGUUAUUAUAUCUGUGUCCUGGUAAAGUUGAAUCCCGAGCUCCGGGUUCGAACCCGAGCUCUGCGGAUCACAGUGUGUUCGGUCCGCGGUCAAUCCGCCUCCGCCACCGGGAAGAGAAGCAUGCUUUGACCCAGGCAGUAAAGUGUGAAUAAGUGUGUCUGCUCCACACCAUGAGGAAACCCAAGGAUCUGAUGGAGUCUGAAAGAGAGGGUCAGGAGUUAACUCCCAGCUCCAGAGGUCGACAGCGCAGGAAAAACACCAAAUAUUUGGACUAUGAGACGAGCAACGACGCUCAGAGACGCCCCGACACGGAGAAGGAGGUGAAGGAGGUGAAGGAGGAGGUAGACCCUGCUGCUCCUCCUCCUCCUCGGAGAGGACGAGGACGUCCUAGAUCCACGCCUCUGCAGUCUGAAGGUCCCACGCCAAAGAAAGCAGCACAAGGCAGGAAAACAGGCGUGGGAAAAACUCCUACGACACCUGAAGACGUGACGCCGAGGCCGAAGAGGAAGUUUGUGAAGAAGCAGAAGGUGAACGUGAGUCCUGAAGUUCCUUCUAAAUCAGAAGAUAGUGAACACCAUCAGGAGGAAGAGGAGCCUGGAGGCCGACGCAGGAGGGGCGCCGCCAAGAAGGCGCUGAAGUACCUCCACCGAUUGGCUAACAACGUGUUGGAGGAGAGCUCAAAUCAGAGUGACAGCGACGCCCCUUUAAGGACGAACCACGCCCGGCGCUCAGCUGGUCUCUGUGGCAGGAAAAGGAAACGUUUGGACAGCAGCGACUCCGCAGUCGACCACGACUUUGUUCCUGAUGGAGCUGAGGAAGACGAGGAGAACGAAGAAGAUGAAGAGGAAGAUGAAGGAGAAGAAGAAGGGAUGGAGGAAGACGACGAGGAGGAAGAGGAGGAGUUUUCCAAAGGACUAAAAACACGGAACUUGAACUACAAGUCAACAAACGGACUGACUCACAAAAGCCUGAAACUGGUCCUGGACUCAGCCAGACUUACUCAGAGGCUGUGA
Molecule: long non-coding RNA, 1277 nt
Filed under: Gouania willdenowi (blunt-snouted clingfish)
Lineage: Eukaryota; Metazoa; Chordata; Actinopteri; Blenniiformes; Gobiesocidae
Description: lncRNA (ENSGWIG00000008926.1)
Source: RNAcentral